UGCAGUCGAGCGAGAAAGUUCCUUUGGGAAUGAGUACAGCGGCGGACGGGUGAGCAACGCGUGAGAAUCUGCCCUUCAGUGAAGAAUACCGUCGAGAAAUCGACGUUAAUGCUGCAUACGUCCCUUCGGGGAGAAAAGUGGCCUCUUUGCUACUGCUGAAGGAUGAGCUUGCGUACUAUUAGCUAGUUGGUGGGGUAAAGGCCUACCAAGGCGAUGAUGGUUAACCGGCCUGAGAGGGUGUUCGGUCACACUGGAACUGAGAUACGGUCCAGACUCCUACGGGAGGCAGCAGUGAGGAAUAUUGCGCAAUGGGCGAAAGCCUGACGCAGCGACGCCGCGUGGAGGAUGAAGGUCUUCGGAUUGUAAACUUCUGUUAAGUGGGAAGAAAGAGCUGCUUUUAAUAGAGGCAGUUAAUGACGGUACCAUUAAAGAAAGCACCGGCUAAACUCGUGCCAGCAGCCGCGGUAAUACGAGUGGUGCAAGCGUUAUUCGGAAUCAUUGGGCGUACAGGGUGUGUAGGCGGCAUGUUAAGUCUGUUGUUAAAUUCUCCGGCCUAACCGGAGACAGGCAGCGGAAACUGGCGUGCUAGAGGGUGGAAGAGAGAAGUGGAAUUCUCGGUGUAGCGGUAAAAUGCGUAGAUAUCGAGAGGAACACCGAUGGCGAAGGCAGCUUCUUGGUCCAUUCCUGACGCUGAAACACG
This 700-nucleotide ribosomal RNA is filed under the name uncultured bacterium. RNAcentral describes it as "bacterial SSU rRNA". It matches the Rfam family "Bacterial small subunit ribosomal RNA", at positions 56 to 755 of the family's 1533-position model. The record is from RNAcentral.